RNAcentral lists this ribosomal RNA (253 nucleotides) under uncultured bacterium. RNAcentral's name for it is "partial 16S ribosomal RNA". It matches the Rfam family "Bacterial small subunit ribosomal RNA", at positions 524 to 776 of the family's 1533-position model. The record is from RNAcentral.
UACGGAGGGUGCAAGCGUUAUCCGGAUUCACUGGGUUUAAAGGGAGCGUAGGUGGGUUGGUAAGUCAGUGGUGAAAUCUCCGAGCUUAACUUGGAAACUGCCAUUGAUACUAUCAAUCUUGAAUACUGUGGAGGUAAGCGGAAUAUAUCAUGUAGCGGUGAAAUGCUUAGAUAUGAUAUAGAACACCAGUAGCGAAGGCAGCUUACUACGCAGUUAUUGACACUGAGGCUCGAAAGCGUGGGGAUCAAACAGG